GAAACGACUGCUAAGACUGGAUAGGAGACAAGAGGGCAUCUUCUUGGUCUAAGGAAAAGACCCAGCAAUAGGUAUGCUUAGGGAGGGGCUUGCGUCACAUUAGUUAGUUGGUGGGGUAAAGGCCUACCAAGACUAUGAUGUGUAGCCGGGCUGAGAGGUUGAACGGCCACAUUGGGACUGAGACACGGCCCAAACUCCUACGGGAGGCAGCAGUAGGGAAUUUUCGGCAAUGGAGGAAACUCUGACCGAGCAACGCCGCGUGAACGAUGAAGUAUUUCGGUACGUAAAGUUCUUUUAUUAGGGAAGAAUAAAUGAUGGAAAAAUCAUUCUGACGGUACCUAAUGAAUAAGCCCCGGCUAACUAUGUGCCAGCAGCCGCGGUAAUACAUAGGGGGCAAGCGUUAUCCGGAAUUAUUGGGCGUAAAGGGUGCGUAGGCGGUAAGUUUAUGGUCUAAGUGCAAUGCUCAACAUUGUGAUGCUAUAAAAACUUUAGCUAGAGUAAGAUAGAGGCAAGUGGAAUUCCAUGUGUAGUGGUAAAAUGCGUAAAUAUAUGGAGGAACACCAGUAGCGAAGGCGGCUUACUGGGUCUUUACUGACGCUGAGGCACGAAAGCGUGGGGAGCAAACAUUAGAUACCCUGGUAGUCCACGCCGUAAACGAUGAGUACUAAACGUUGGGUAAAACCAGUGUUGAAGUUAACACAUUAAGUACUCCGCCUGAGUAGUACGUACGCAAGUAUGAAACUUAAAGGAAUUGACGGGACUCCGCACAAGCGGUGGAUCAUGUUGUUUAAUUCGAAGGUACCCGAAAAACCUCACCAGGUCUUGACAUGCUUCUGCAAAGCUGUAGAAACACAGUGGAGGUUAUCAGUUGCACAGGUGGUGCAUGGUUGUCGUCAGCUCGUGUCGUGAGAUGUUGGGUUAAGUCCCGCAACGAGCGCAACCCUUAUUGUUAGUUACCAGCACGUAAUGGUCUAAGGGACUUUAGCAAGACUGCCAGUGAUAAAUUGGAGGAAGGUGGGGACGACGUCAAAUCAUCAUGCCCCUUAACAAACGUGAUACAAUGGCUGUUACAAAGGGUAGCUGAAGCGCAAGUUUUUGGCGAAUCUCAAAAAAACAUUCGGAUUGAAGUCUGCAACUCGACUUCAUGAAGUUGGAAUCGCUAGUAAUCGCGAAUCAGCAUGUCGCGGUGAAUACGUUCGCGGGGUUUGUACACACCGCCUGUCAAGUCUGCAACUC
Molecule: ribosomal RNA, 1236 nt
Filed under: 'Ageratum conyzoide' phytoplasma
Lineage: Bacteria; Bacillati; Mycoplasmatota; Mollicutes; Acholeplasmatales; Acholeplasmataceae
Description: bacterial SSU rRNA
Rfam family: Bacterial small subunit ribosomal RNA
Source: RNAcentral